This 468-nucleotide ribosomal RNA is filed under the name uncultured bacterium. RNAcentral's name for it is "partial 16S ribosomal RNA". It matches the Rfam family "Bacterial small subunit ribosomal RNA", at positions 28 to 507 of the family's 1533-position model. The record is from RNAcentral.
GACGAACGCUGGCGGCGUGCUUAACACAUGCCAGUCGAACGGAAAGGCCCUGCUUUUGUGGGGUGCUCGAGUGGCGAACGGGUGAGUAACACGUGAGUAACCUGCCCUUGACUUUGGGAUAACUUCAGGAAACUGGGGCUAAUACCGGAUAGGAGCUCCUGCUGCAUGGUGGGGGUUGGAAAGUUUCGGCGGUUGGGGAUGGACUCGCGGCUUAUCAGCUUGUUGGUGGGGUAGUUGCUUACCAAGGCUUUGACGGGUAGCCGGCCUGAGAGGGUGACCGGCCAAAUGGGGACUGAGAUACGGCCAAGACUCCUACGGGAGGCAGCAGUGGGGAAUAUUGCACAAUGGGCGGAAGCCUGAUGCAGCAACGCCGCGUGCGGGAUGACGGCCUUCGGGUUGUAAACCGCUUUCGCCUGUGACGAAGCGUGAGUGACGGUAAUGGGUAAAGAAGCACCGGCUAACUACGUG